GCACUAGAAGCUCAGUGGCUGAGCAUGGGAUUGCAGUCAUGGUAAUAUCCCGGGGUCGUCGGUUCAAAUCCGGCCUGGUGCU
Molecule: non-coding RNA, 82 nt
Organism: Cantharellus anzutake
Lineage: Eukaryota; Fungi; Basidiomycota; Agaricomycetes; Cantharellales; Hydnaceae
Source: the annotation of a RefSeq genome assembly